RNAcentral lists this ribosomal RNA (269 nucleotides) under uncultured bacterium. RNAcentral describes it as "partial 16S ribosomal RNA". It matches the Rfam family "Bacterial small subunit ribosomal RNA", at positions 524 to 792 of the family's 1533-position model. The record is from RNAcentral.
UACGAAGGGGCUAGCGUUGCUCGGAAUUACUGGGCGUAAAGCGCACGUAGGCGGCUUUCUAAGUCGGGGUGAAAUCCUGGAGCUCAACUCCAGAACUGCCUUCGAUACUGGAAAGCUCGAGUCCGGGAGAGGUGAGUGGAACUGCGAGUUGUAGAGGUGAAAUUCGUAGAUAUUCGCAAGAACACCAGUGGCGAAGGCGGCUCACUGGCCCGGUACUGACGCUGAGGUGCGAAAAGCGUGGGGAGCAACAGGGAUUAAGAUACCCGGUA